This 253-nucleotide ribosomal RNA is filed under the name uncultured bacterium. Its description in RNAcentral is "partial 16S ribosomal RNA". It matches the Rfam family "Bacterial small subunit ribosomal RNA", at positions 524 to 776 of the family's 1533-position model. The record is from RNAcentral.
GACAGAGGGUGCAAACGUUGUUCGGAAUUACUGGGCGUAAAGUGUGCGCAGGCGGCCAUGCAAGUCGAGUGUGAAAGCCCCGGGCUUAACUUGGGAAUUGCGCUCGAAACUACGUGGCUGGAGUGUGGCAGAGGAAGGUGGAAUUCCACGUGUAGCGGUGAAAUGCGUAGAGAUGUGGAGGAACACCAAUGGCGAAGGCAGCCUUCUGGGCCAACACUGACGCUCAUGCACGAAAGCGUGGGGAGCAAACAGG